GGCUCCCUGCGAUGUCCGUGAUCGGUGAUCGAGUCUUGAGCCAACACCCGCGACCUGGGUGCUGUCUGGACCGGUGAAGUGACGUCUUCCCGCAAGGGGAGACAGACACGCAGCCGGUCCGAAGCAUCCGCCUGUCACUAAGGGUUCAAAGACUCGUCGCGACACGACACCCGCGGGGAACCU
This 183-nucleotide non-coding RNA is filed under the name Caldifarciminota bacterium. Its description in RNAcentral is "6S RNA". It matches the Rfam family "6S / SsrS RNA". From Rfam's summary of the family: E. coli 6S RNA was the first non coding RNA to be sequenced, but its function was unknown until recently. Lineage: Bacteria; Pseudomonadati; Caldifarciminota. The record is from RNAcentral.